AGUAAUGUCUGGGAAACUGCCUGAUGGAGGGGGAUAACUGCUGGAAACGGUAGCUAAUACCGCAUAGCGUCGCAAGACCAAAGAGGGGGACCUUCGGGCCUCUUGCCAUCGGAUGUGCCCAGAUGGGAUUAGCUAGUAGGUGGGGUAACGGCUCACCUAGGCGACGAUCCCUAGCUGGUCUGAGAGGAUGACCAGCCACACUGGAACUGAGACACGGUCCAG
This 222-nucleotide ribosomal RNA is filed under the name uncultured bacterium. RNAcentral describes it as "partial 16S ribosomal RNA". It matches the Rfam family "Bacterial small subunit ribosomal RNA", at positions 109 to 334 of the family's 1533-position model. The record is from RNAcentral.